GAUCAAACUUGAUCAUCUAGAGGAAGUAAAAGUCGUAGCAAGGUUUCCGUAGGUGAACCUGCGGAAGGAUCAUUA
RNAcentral lists this ribosomal RNA (75 nucleotides) under Metaphire sieboldi (earthworm). Its description in RNAcentral is "partial 18S ribosomal RNA". It matches the Rfam family "Eukaryotic small subunit ribosomal RNA", at positions 1757 to 1831 of the family's 1831-position model. Lineage: Eukaryota; Metazoa; Annelida; Clitellata; Crassiclitellata; Megascolecidae. The record is from RNAcentral.